Molecule: long non-coding RNA, 3866 nt
Organism: Macaca mulatta (Rhesus monkey)
Lineage: Eukaryota; Metazoa; Chordata; Mammalia; Primates; Cercopithecidae
Source: RefSeq, a predicted model, not a curated record
GAUUAGCAAACAUGAGCCACUACACCCAGCUUGAUAAAUGUUUUUAAAAUGUCGCUUUGUAAAUUGGAGGACCCUCUUUGCUUGUGAGGCAGUUAUGGCCAUUACUAACAUUUAUUGCCUCGGUUGGUGGAAGAUGCCAGGAAAGGAAACCCAGUUCAGAGGAGAAAGCCGUUUCUCAUGGAAGGAGCUGCCUGAGAGUGGAAAGGGCUUUGCAAGUGCUGAGCUUCCUGUUGUUUGCUCAAAUGGAGGAUGCAUGAUCGUCUUUCAGAAAGGGAUUUCUAUUGGGUGGAAGGCGGGACAGAGAGAUUUGUAAAAGUUUCCAACAGGUCUAGCUCUCAUCUCCUGUGUCAGAAAGAAAGGAACAAGGAAGCCUGGGGAAGGGUGGAGGCCGCACAAAUGAGCUGACACUCGUUAUAACAAAUACCAUAAUGGCAAACCCUAGAGCCGCUAGAGGGGUCUUGUUCGUGAGGCAGAGAGGGUGGAGAUUAUAUACUUCAGUGUUUGUGCUAGAAGGGGGUUUGGAAAUUCUGGGGAAACCACUCUUGUCUUUCAAAACAUGAACUGUUGUGCCCUGUAAUGGGAAGGCCCAGUGGCAACCAAGUACCAGUGAUCCGCAGGGGGCAGAGGCCAGGGUCCUAGGCCCCCUUUGCAAUUAGGAAUUCAAGAUGUAAGUAUGCCUUAAAAUCCUUGGGCUUGCUGAGGGUUCAAAGAGCUUUGGGCUGGGAGCCAGGCCCCUUGGCUGGAGUCCCAACUCUGCCACCAACUAGCUUUAUAGUUUAAGGAAAGCCAUCCUAACUUCACUGAGCCUCUGUUUCUCUCCUUCCCUCCCUCUCUUUCUUCCUGAGAGCCUUUUUCCAUGGACCAGCAACACUGGCUAGGAACUUAUUGGAAAUUCAGAGUCUUAGGCCCCACCCUGGACUUAAAUCAGAACUUGCAUUUUUAACAAGCUUCCCGGGUAAAUUCUAAAACUCUGAGAAGCAGGGGCUUAGAUGACUUGAAUAACAUUAAUUUAUGGCACCAGCUCUAGAGUCAGACUGCCUGGGUUCACAUUCAGACUUCAUUGCUUACCAGCUGGGUAACCUUCAGUGAGUACAUGAGCACCUCUGUGUCAGGCACUGUCCUAAGCACUAAGGAUGCAGAAGUAAAUGAACUAAAUGAUAUAGACGAAGUCUUGGCUAUUGCAGAGACAGGCAGUAAACAAGUACAUGGCACAUUCGGUCUAAAGUAUGUGUUUCCCACAAAGCUCAUAUGUUGAAAUCCUAACCCCUCAAGGUGCUGGUAUUGGGAGGUGGGGCCUUGGGGACUGAUUAGGUCAUGAGGGCAGAGCCUUAGAAAUGAAGCCCCAGAGAGCUCCCUUACCCCUUCCACCAUGCGGCUGUCUAUGAACAAGGAAGCAGGCCCUCACCAGACACCAAAUCUGUUGUGCCUUGCUCUUGGACUUCUCAACCUCCAGAACUGUGAAGAAUAAAUUUCUGUUGUUUAUAAGUCACCCAGUCUAUAGUAAUUAGUUAAGCAGCCUGAACAGACAAAGACAGAAAUGUAUAGGAGUGAAAAAAAAGACAGUGGUAAGUGUUAGGGAGAAAAUAUAACAGGGCAAAGUGAUAGUGACCAGGCCGAGGCCCUGGUUAGUUGGGACGGGGGUGAGAGGGUUUCAGGAAAAUGCUCACUGAGGCGGUGUUUGCACUGAAACCUGAAAGGCAAGGAGCCAGUCUUGCAGCCAUCUGGGGAAAGAGCGUUCCUGGGCUAGGGGAAAACAACCGCAAAGACUCUGAGACAGAAAGCACUUUGGCAUCUUCAAGGGCAGAGGCUUGGGCAGAGUCAGACUGUGUGGGAAGCUGGAUGCCUGGAGAGAAGGCCUCUAUUCUUAGUGAUAGGAAAGCACUGGGGGCAGAGCCAGCAGCAGCAAGGAGACUAGGGGGCCCGGGGUGUGUGCAGGUAAGAGGGUCUCUGCCUCCAACCUUAGGGUCAAGAGCGUCAGCUCACGCUGCCUGCAGGGGAAAGAACAAUGCGCAGUCCAGUCUAUGGCUCCCCACAAAGGAAUGCCACACAGCGUGACCUCUUCGGCAGAGAGGGAACCUACACCUUCUCCCUUCCAGUCUCUCCUCCAGCAGGGGGAAAACUGAGACCCAGAGGUGAGGUGCUCAGCCACUUCCCAACACCGCCACGCAGCCGGAGGAGGUCUCCAAAUUGGCCUAUAAACUAUGAUGUGUACUGUUUCCAGAGCGAGACUGAACAAUUUCACAACCGUCUCCUCCCCGCCCCCGCAUGUCCUUUCUCCUGCUCUCUUCCUAGGUCCCAGGCGCUCUGCAGCUCCUGCCCUCGCUCACCCCAGUGCAAUGCCCUCAAGCGACUGCUUUCACCUUGCGAAAACAUCCCAUGAGGGAUGAGGACCUAGAGGUAGCUGUGUCGCUGGCAGGUUGUGAUGAAGAAUGAGACCAUAACCUUCAAUAGGCAAGGACACUGGGAGUCUCAAUCUCUCCAGGAAGCUCCUGGCUGAAUGCCAAGGAUGCACUGAUUAAUUCUACUCCUUUCUGACGCUGAUGGGUGAUCCAUCAACCCACCGACUGCUUAUUUAGCACGAUCUCAAUAAUGAGCAAGUGCUGUGAGGGGCACAGGGAUGUCAGACACAGCCCCUGAAGACCUGCAUGAGAAGAAAUACACAGCAGCCAGCACGUAAUGAAGCAGCUUCCUCUUUGGGACUCCUAGAAUCCUUGGUACUUUCCUCCAGAAUCGCCUCCUCAUGUAUCUGACAUUCCUUGUUUGUGAAUACAUCUCUCUCACUGAUCUGAAUUCUUAGAAGGUAGAAAGGGAGCCUUUUGUGUGAUCGGGGUCUCAGAGCCCAGCUAGGGGCCUGAACUCUAGCAGGCGCACCCGCUCUGUAAUUGUUUUGUGUGAGAGAGCGUGUGCCUGAAGUAGGAAAUGUUACAGCUUGGAUGGAAGCCCUAAAGAAGAUCUUAAAAGGGACAUCAGUGAGCUGCUCCCGCCAUCCGUGAAACAGAACGUGCUCAGAGGCUGCUCUGUAAACACCAGGAGGUCAGCUUAGCUUAGCUUUUUCAUCCUCUACAGUCUCUAUGCCUUCCUCCUCCUCUUCCUCCUCUUCUUCCUCCUCCUCCUCCUCUCCUUUCUUCUCCUCUGCCACCGUUGAUGACCUGAACUUUCCACAUCCCCCUUGCUGCCCCUCUUACAAAAACCCUCAAUAUUCCACACCCACUGAGGGACUAUUCUGAAGAUAGUUGCCCAUUUUCUCUUCUCAGUAUGGGCACAAAGGAAACAGCUUUCUCCCCUGCCUGCUCUUGAAACAAAGCAGCAUUGAGUCUUAUCACCGGCAGGCUUUGGCUGAGGCUCCACACACAGUGACCCAACUGACUGCUGCUAACAAAAUAAAGCUUUCGUUUCGGCAUUCUUCCCCAUUUUGGUCUGUACGGUGCCAAAGGAAAUAAACUUUUAUUUUUCCAGAAUCCAGACAUUCAGAUAACCAGAACUUGAAGGGGAGGAAGGUAUGGUUUGCAUUUUUUCUUUAGGAAACAAGUAAGUCGGAACUGUUGAAAACAGGGCUUUAAGUAGAAAAAGCAACAUAUUAGGUGAGUCAUACCCAAUCCAUAAACCUCGUCAUCCACAGUCGCAGGAUAGUACUAACAAGGGAAGCUCAUGCAUCUGACCCCAAAGCAUCUGACCUCUUGAACACUAGAAGGGUCUUCUGAUGUAUUAGAAGGAACACUAGUAAUCCAUAUACAAUGUAUGUAGACGUAGUUCUGUUAUACACAAUAGUCAUCCAAACACAUUUGUUAACCAUUGGAAUGGAGUGGGGGAAGGGGAUGGGUAAUAAAUGUUCGGCAGAACUUUCCACUUUGGGGUUUAAAGAUGAA